Molecule: ribosomal RNA, 95 nt
Filed under: Serratia marcescens
Lineage: Bacteria; Pseudomonadati; Pseudomonadota; Gammaproteobacteria; Enterobacterales; Yersiniaceae
Description: partial 16S ribosomal RNA
Rfam family: Bacterial small subunit ribosomal RNA
Source: RNAcentral
AGGGCGCUUACCACUUUGUGAUUCAUGACUGGGGUGAAGUCGUAACAAGGUAACCGUAGGGGAACCUGCGGUUGGAUCACCUCCUUACCUAAAGA